RNAcentral lists this ribosomal RNA (253 nucleotides) under uncultured bacterium. RNAcentral describes it as "partial 16S ribosomal RNA". It matches the Rfam family "Bacterial small subunit ribosomal RNA", at positions 524 to 776 of the family's 1533-position model. The record is from RNAcentral.
UACGAAGGGGGCUAGCGUUGCUCGGAAUCACUGGGCGUAAAGGGUGCGUAGGCGGGUCUUUAAGUCAGGGGGGAAAUCCUGGAGCUCAACUCCAGAACUGCCUUUGAUACUGAGGAUCUUGAGUUCGGGAGAGGUGAGUGGAACUGCGAGUGUAGAGGUGAAAUUCGUAGAUAUUCGCAAGAACACUAGUGGCGAAGGCGGCUCACUGGCCCGAUACUGACGCUGAGGUGCGAAAGCGUGGGGAGCAAACAGG